RNAcentral lists this ribosomal RNA (253 nucleotides) under uncultured bacterium. RNAcentral describes it as "partial 16S ribosomal RNA". It matches the Rfam family "Bacterial small subunit ribosomal RNA", at positions 524 to 776 of the family's 1533-position model. The record is from RNAcentral.
CACGUAGGGCGCAAGCGUUGUCCGGAAUUAUUGGGCGUAAAGGGCUCGUAGGCGGUCUGUUGCGUCCGCUGUGAAAACUCGGGGCUUAACCCCGAGCCUGCAGUGGAUACGGGCAGACUAGAGGUAGGUAGGGGAGAAUGGAAUUCCCGGUGUAGCGGUGAAAUGCGCAGAUAUCGGGAGGAACACCGGUGGCGAAGGCAGCUUGCUACACUGUUAUUGACACUGAGGCACGAAAGCGUGGGGAUCAAACAGG